GAAAAUUUUCGUCCUAAAAACUUUCAUUAUUUUUGUAGAAUCUUAUCCCGAUAUAACCUCUAAUCUUUGCCAAAUGGACAACAACGUGUUUGUAACUCCUUAAAGAAAGCUGUGGAUUGCAUUUGUGGUCGAGAUUCGAUGUUUUUCAAGCUUGACUUGGCUCAAACUUUAUGUUGUAUUUCAUGCUCCAUCUUGGUAUAAAUGUUGCAUCAGCUGUAUCAAUUAGUUUAGAAAUUGCUUGGAAUUCCUCUGGUUUCUCUUCUUUAAG
This 268-nucleotide long non-coding RNA is filed under the name Paramuricea clavata. The record is from RNAcentral. Lineage: Eukaryota; Metazoa; Cnidaria; Anthozoa; Malacalcyonacea; Plexauridae.